UUCUUUGAACAGGACAAUGCUGACUACAGAAAGGCAGGCAUUCAAUAUAUUUUAAUUAAACAUUCUGUGCUCUUUGCUUAGACUAGUUACUUUGAGAAAAAGAAUAAAUUAAAAACCAUAAUUAGUGGGUUAAAUCAAUCUUGAAUCCUCCAAAGAAAACCCUGAAUUGCUGCCAAAAAUGUAAGGCACUUCAGCUGUCUUCCCUGCCCUUACGCUGCAGUUGGCUUCCAAAAGGAAGAAGCGAGGAACCACUACGAAGUCUUAGAGUAUAAACCUAUUAUUACUGACCAUUUAAACUCAUUAACCAGGCUGAGAAUUUGGAAUGGCCAAAGCACAGACAUGCACUCCUCUCUGUUGCCAAAAUGUACCCUUGAUAAAGAGAUGGGGCAAACAAAACAAUGAUGUCCCUCGAGCAGAAUCCUCUGCUUUUCCACUGACACAGCUCUGAGUUAAGAGCACAGAUGCGCUGCAGCCCAUCUUCUUCUUUUAAAGCCAUCAGGUACUUCAUGACAGCUUAAGAAAAGAAAAAAAAACCCAAACUAUAGUCUUUUGCUCUACAGUGUGAAAAUAUCCAAGGAAUUAUUUGUCACCAAACUAAUAAAGAUCCCCAUGGGUUUCAAAUACAGCUAAAAUACUACAAUA
Molecule: long non-coding RNA, 642 nt
Organism: Cuculus canorus (common cuckoo)
Lineage: Eukaryota; Metazoa; Chordata; Aves; Cuculiformes; Cuculidae
Exons: 3
Source: RefSeq, a predicted model, not a curated record